UACAGAGGUGGCAAGCGUUGUUCGGAAUUACUGGGCGUAAAGGGCGCGUAGGCGGCCAUCUAAGUCAGACGUGAAAUCCCCCGGCUUAACCUGGGAACUGCGUCUGAUACUGGAAGGCUUGAGUAUGGGAGAGGGAUGUAGAAUUCCAGGUGUAGCGGUGAAAUGCGUAGAUAUCUGGAGGAAUAUCGGUGGCGAAGGCGGCAUCCUGGACCAUUACUGACGCUGAGGCGCGAAAGCUAGGGGAGCAAACGGG
RNAcentral lists this ribosomal RNA (253 nucleotides) under uncultured bacterium. RNAcentral's name for it is "partial 16S ribosomal RNA". It matches the Rfam family "Bacterial small subunit ribosomal RNA", at positions 524 to 776 of the family's 1533-position model. The record is from RNAcentral.